UACGUAGGGCGCAAGCGUUGUCCGGAAUUAUUGGGCGUAAAGAGCUCGUAGGCGGUCUGUUGCGUCUGCUGUGAAAACCCGGGGCUUAACCCCUGGCUUGCAUUGGAUACGGACAGACUAGAGGUAGGUAGGGGAGAAUGGAAUUCCCGGUGUAGCGGUGAAAUGCGCAGAUAUCAGGAGGAACACCGGUGGCGAAGGCGGGUCUCUGGGCCGUAACUGACGCUGAGGAGCGAAAGCGUGGGGAGCGAACAGG
RNAcentral lists this ribosomal RNA (253 nucleotides) under uncultured bacterium. Its description in RNAcentral is "partial 16S ribosomal RNA". It matches the Rfam family "Bacterial small subunit ribosomal RNA", at positions 524 to 776 of the family's 1533-position model. The record is from RNAcentral.